Long non-coding RNA from Homo sapiens (human), 1573 nucleotides. RefSeq lists it as uncharacterized. NCBI's taxonomy places the organism in Eukaryota, Metazoa, Chordata, Mammalia, Primates, Hominidae. The transcript has 3 exons. The record is from RefSeq and is a predicted model, not a curated record.
UUCAUGAUCUGCCUGCCUCGGUCUCCCAAAGUGCUGGGAUUACAGGCGUGAGCCACCGCGCCCGGCCUACUAUUCUUAUUCUUGGUAAAUUGUUCUUAUUGCAGAUAUGUCUGUUCUUUAUAUCUAAGUUAAACAGCUUUUGGAAAACAGAAGACAUUCACCAGAUUGGAAUCAAGGAUACACCUUUUCAUGUAAGUGAAAUCAAAGAAGAUGAUUAAAAUAUCAGUGCCAAGGACAUAAGAAGACAGCACAUGAAGAUAUCUUCAAGAAGACAGCGUGGAAGAUGUAGCUUUGGUAAUUUAAAGAAAGUGGAAGACACAGAAACAGUUACGCGGUAAGUGCUGGUGUGAGGUAAUCAGGUAUGUACAGCCACUACUGAGAAGCAGUAAGAGCCCGUGGGAGACCAGGAGCACGGAUGUACAUUGUAUUUCUAUAAGACUUUGCUAUAGUAGUGAGAGUAGGGCUUCAAAUUUUAACAAGGACUAAUCGCAGAGGAUUUAAAAAUGCAGGCUGGGAAAUAUGAUCUACAUUUGAUAAAAAACCAAGACAUAGGUUAGUGCUUUUACAAAUGGAAAUAAUCUGGUGAUGAUGCUUUCUUAGGAAGAUUAAAUCUGAUUAGACUGUGUAGAAUGAGCUUGUAUAAGAGAGAAUACUGGAUCCAGAGAGAUGGCAAACAAUUUAUCAUAUCACUUCUACAUGCUGAGAUGAGGAUUUGGAUGGGAUGGAGACGAGAAAUGAAGACACAUAAAUAAUAUAUUCCUACACCAGUCAUAGAGAAAUCAUAUCCUAACCACCCAACCAAUUUUCUUUAGUCAUAACUAGGAAAGAUCAACCAAGAUCACUAAAUCGUUAGAAAAAAAAAAUCAAUAGUAGAGAAACAGACUGCUACACAAAAAGGAAUGAUUCAGGUAAUACCAAUAACAUAUUAAAAAACCUCUAAGAGAAUCCCUGUAAUUAGUAUUUUCAGAGAGAUUUGAGAAAAUAUUACAUUUGUAAAACAUGAACAUGGUACUAGGGAAAACCAGGCAGAGAACACCGUCCAUGUAUUAGGUUGUUCUCGCAUUGCUAUAAAGAAAUACCCGAGACUGGGUAAUUUAUAAAGAAGAGAGGUUUAACUGGCUUAUGGUUCUGCAGGUUAUACAGGAAGCAUGGUAUAGGCAUCUGCUCAGGGAGGCCUUAGGAAGCUUACAAUCAUGGUGGAAAGUGAAGGGGGAGCAGGCACAUCACAUGAUGAAAGCAGGAGUGAGUGAGAGAGAGAAGGGGGUAGGUGGAGGUGCCACACACUUUUAAACGAUCAGAACUCAGAAGAACUCACUCACUAUCACCAAGGCAUCACCAAGCCUGAGGGAUCCAUUCCCAUGACCCAGAAACCUCCCACCAGGUCCCAACUCUGGCAUUUGAGAUUACAAUUCGACAUGAGAUUUGGACAGGGACACAUAUUCAAUCUAUGUCAGUGCAUAUUCUUCACCUUCUCUCCUGUUCAGGGAUGAACUCUUAGCUAAAGUCUAGCCCUUCUGUUCAAAGAUGAACUCAUAGCUAAAAAAUGCAAGACAUCCCGUUAAGGGAUGAACUC